CAGCACCUCAAGUGGUCAGGAUGAUUAUUGGGCCUAAAGCAUCCGUAGCCGGCUCUGUAAGUUUUCGGUUAAAUCUGUACGCUCAACGUACAGGCUGCCGGGAAUACUGCAGAGCUAGGGAGUGGGAGAGGUAGACGGUACUCGGUAGGAAGGGGUAAAAUCCUUUGAUCUAUUGAUGACCACCUGUGGCGAAGGCGGUCUACCAGAACACGUCCGACGGUGAGGGAUGAAAGCUGGUGGAGCAAACCGGAUUAGAGACCCGCGUAGUCC
RNAcentral lists this ribosomal RNA (270 nucleotides) under uncultured archaeon. Its description in RNAcentral is "partial 16S ribosomal RNA". It matches the Rfam family "Archaeal small subunit ribosomal RNA", at positions 477 to 747 of the family's 1478-position model. The record is from RNAcentral.